GUCUGGUUAGCGCAGUCGGUAGCGCGUAGGUCUCAUAUCAAUAUGAGGAGAUUACGUAAUCUCUGUAAUCCUAAGGUCGCGAGUUCAAGUCUCGCACUGGACA
Transfer RNA from Exidia glandulosa HHB12029, 103 nucleotides. It matches the Rfam family "tRNA". Rfam says of the family: Transfer RNA (tRNA) molecules are approximately 80 nucleotides in length. Their secondary structure includes four short double-helical elements and three loops (D, anti-codon, and T loops). NCBI's taxonomy places the organism in Eukaryota, Fungi, Basidiomycota, Agaricomycetes, Auriculariales, Exidiaceae. The record is from Rfam.